Molecule: microRNA precursor, 59 nt
Filed under: Monodelphis domestica (gray short-tailed opossum)
Lineage: Eukaryota; Metazoa; Chordata; Mammalia; Didelphimorphia; Didelphidae
Description: mir-1544 microRNA precursor family
Rfam family: mir-1544 microRNA precursor family
Source: Rfam by way of RNAcentral
GCAUCCAGGGAUAGAAUAGCAGUUCACUUCAAAGUCCCCUUUUCUAUCCCUGGCACUGA